UCCGGUUGAUCCUGCCGGAGGUUACUGCUAUCGAGGUUCGACUAAGCCAUGCGAGUCGAAUGUAGCAAUACAUGGCGUACUGCUCAGUAACACGUGGACAACCUACCCUUGAGACGGGGAUAAACCCGGGAAACUGGGUAUAAUACCCGAUAGAUCUCGACUGCUGGAAUGCAUCGAGCUCCAAAGCUCCGGCGCUCAAGGAUGGGUCUGCGGCCUAUCAGGUAGUAGUGGGUGUAGCGUACCUACUAGCCUACGGCGGGUACGGGUUGUGAGAGCAAGAGCCCGGAGAUGGAUUCUGAGACACGAAUCCAGGCCCUACGGGGUGCAGCAGGCGCGAAAACUUUACAAUGCCGGCAACGGCGAUAAGGGGACCUCGAGUGCCAGGUUACAAAUCUGGCUGUCGUGAUGCCUAAAAAGCAUUGCAUAGCAAGGGCCGGGCAAGACCGGUGCCAGCCGCCGCGGUAACACCGGCGGCUCGAGUGGUAACCGUUAUUAUUGGGUCUAAAGGGUCUGUAGCCGGCCGGAUAAGUCUCUUGGGAAAUCUGGCAGCUUAACUGUCAGGCUUUCAGGAGAUACUGUCUGGCUCGAGGCCGGGAGAGGUGAGAGGUACUUCAGGGGUAGGGGUGAAAUCUUGUAAUCCUUGAAGGACCACCAGUGGCGAAGGCGUCUCACCAGAACGGACCUGACGGCAAGGGACGAAAGCUAGGGGCACGAACCGGAUUAGAUACCCGGGUAGUCCUAGCCGUAAACGAUACUCGCUAGGUGUCGGCCACGGUGCGACCGUUGUCGGUGCCGUAGGGAAGCCGUGAAGCGAGCCACCUGGGAAGUACGGCCGCAAGGCUGAAACUUAAAGGAAUUGGCGGGGGAGCACCACAACGGGUGGAGCUUGCGGUUUAAUUGGAUUCAACGCCGGAA
This 915-nucleotide ribosomal RNA is filed under the name uncultured archaeon. RNAcentral's name for it is "bacterial SSU rRNA". It matches the Rfam family "Archaeal small subunit ribosomal RNA", at positions 1 to 923 of the family's 1478-position model. The record is from RNAcentral.